Molecule: long non-coding RNA, 534 nt
Organism: Actinia tenebrosa (Australian red waratah sea anemone)
Lineage: Eukaryota; Metazoa; Cnidaria; Anthozoa; Actiniaria; Actiniidae
Source: RefSeq, a predicted model, not a curated record
GGUGAGAAUCCAAGGCCAAUCCAUCCAGUAGUAACGGCCUCCACAGCAAACGAGAUGCUCUCUUCAGCUUGGUCCACAGUCCAGUAGAGUUUAAUCUUCUGUGAUGGAUCUAAUGCAACGAAAUGGUUGUACUCAGAAGAAAGAUCUGCAAGGCACUGGCCGAUAAGACCGAAAACCAAGGCUGAGUAAAGCAACGACAUCUUCAUCCGUUAGUGAUCUUGUAGGUGAAGUGCAACUGAGAUAGUGUCCAACCAGAACACAGCAAACAAUGGUUUGAACUACAGUGAAAGAACGCCAGCUCCAAGAGCCCAGAUAGUCCAGAUACUGAUCAAUGAGAGAUGAAUGAUGCUGACUCUCAAAGCCGUCGACGAACUGUUUACAUCACAAGUCGAAGGUGGCGGUUGAUAUGGCUUGUUGAACGUAACCUUAUUCCCAAGGUUCUUUGGGUCAAUUACUUCCUGGAAGGGAAAUAAGAUAUCCAAAUUAGGUCGAAAACAACGGCAAGUCGCGAUAAAACUCGAAUAAAAUGCAAAA